Molecule: ribosomal RNA, 429 nt
Filed under: Actinomycetes bacterium
Lineage: Bacteria; Bacillati; Actinomycetota; Actinomycetes
Description: Actinobacteria bacterium partial 16S ribosomal RNA
Rfam family: Bacterial small subunit ribosomal RNA
Source: RNAcentral
UAGGGAAUCUUCCGCAAUGGGCGAAAGCCUGACGGAGCAACGCCGCGUGAGUGAUGAAGGUCUUCGGAUCGUAAAACUCUGUUAUUAGGGAAGAACAAAUGUGUAAGUAACUAUGCACGUCUUGACGGUACCUAAUCAGAAAGCCACGGCUAACUACGUGCCAGCAGCCGCGGUAAUACGUAGGUGGCAAGCGUUAUCCGGAAUUAUUGGGCGUAAAGCGCGCGUAGGCGGUUUUUUAAGUCUGAUGUGAAAGCCCACGGCUCAACCGUGGAGGGUCAUUGGAAACUGGAAAACUAGAGUGCAGAAGAGGAAAGUGGAAUUCCAUGUGUAGCGGUGAAAUGCGCAGGGAUAUGGAGGAACACCAGUGGCGAAGGCGACUUUCUGGUCUGUAACUGACGCUGAUGUGCGAAAGCGUGGGGAUCAAACAGG